RNAcentral lists this long non-coding RNA (1415 nucleotides) under Jatropha curcas. Its description in RNAcentral is "long non-coding RNA (JCUR_LNC001393)". Lineage: Eukaryota; Viridiplantae; Streptophyta; Magnoliopsida; Malpighiales; Euphorbiaceae. The record is from RNAcentral.
AAUCAUGCAUCUUUAUCAUGUAUUUACAAAUUGAGCAUUUACAAUUAUGUAUUGUGGCUUUAUGGAGACGCAACCAUUACAGCAAUUUAUCAGACAUCAGAAUUAGCAGAUGGGUCCUCAAGGUUGAUUCUACAGGAUGGAUCUUGAAGGUUGCUCAACGAUAGAACUUCAAUCUUCUUGGCUCUGUUUAGUUGUUUUACAACAUCAAGCCGCUCAGACGAGUAUGGGGAAGGAAUCUAAUUACAGUACAUAAGAACAUUAUUAGCAAAUAUAUAGUAGAAUAGCACAGCAGGAACAAGUGAACAAAACAUACCAAACGCGGCAUGUAUCUCUGGAUAGCUGCUAGCAUUGCUGCAUGGCCUACGGCAGAGACCUGAUAAUAGAGAAGAUUACAAUUAAUCAGUUCUUUUCAAGAAUCGUACACUGUCUGCUUAGAUAAACACCACUUCGUGGCAUUUUUUAAAAUUUUCAGCUUGUGCUUUUUUAUUCCUCCCACACCCACAGGAGUGCUUGUGGUGCAUGUAUUUGAACAUAGUGAAUAAAUAGACGUGCUCUUCGUCACAACGGUAGUGCGAAACUAAUUCUUUAUUGCUAUGAUGUGCUGACCAUAUAGUGCGAAACUAAUUCUUCGUCACAAUGGUCUAUCUAGUUCGUUUAGUAUCUAUAAUUUGUCCAAUGAGAGAUUUAAAAUUACACGAUCGCCAUUCGAAUGGGCCUAUUUCUAUUGUUACUCUAAUGUCUACGUCAUCAUGAGCCUCUUUUUUACUCUGUAGGCCCAAAAAUAUACUAAGGACCCAUUAUGGAAAUUCAGGUCCAACUUUAACUAGAUUCAGAUAAUAUUAAGCUUAUUUUGGGUCCUCUAAUGAACAUACUUUAGACCACACACACGCAAGCUAGUUUGAAAUAACUUGGACUUUUUUUGACUUUUUUUAUUUUUUUUACACUUGGCCUUUAAGAGACUUCUACAGAUAUUAGCUUCUCAGUAUCCAUCUCAUUCGGAAAAUGAUAACAACCAAAACGCAAACUUUAGAUGGAUUUACCUCUGCCUAAUGUCUUUCCUCUUCUCCAUUUUGCAUAUGGUAAUUUGCUUCAGAAGAGCUUCCUAUAAUUGUCAUCAGCAAACAGACCAGAAGGUAAUGGAUUUCAAUCUAUACUCUGUAGGAUGUAAUUAUUAUUUAAAUCAUGCAUCUUUAUCAUGUAUUUACAAAUUGAGCAUUUACAAUUAUGUAUUGUGGCUUUAUGGAGACGCAACCAUUACAGCAAUUUAUCAGACAUCAGAAUUAGCAGAUGGGUCCUCAAGGUUGAUUCUACAGGAUGGAUCUUGAAGGUUGCUCAACGAUAGAACUUCAAUCUUCUUGGCUCUGUUUAGUUGUUUUACAACAUCAAGCCGCUCAGACGAGUAUGGGGAAGGAAUC